GACGAACGCUGGCGGCGUGCUUAACACAUGCAAGUCGAACGGAAAGGCCCUGCUUUUGUGGGGUGCUCGAUUGCCGAACGGGUGAGUAACACGUGUGUAACCUGCCCUUGACUUUGGGGUAACUUCAGGAAACUGGGGCUAAUACCGGAUAGGAUCUCCUGCUGCAUGGUGGGGGUUGGAAAGUUUCGGCUGUUGGGGAUGGACUCGCGGCUUAUCAGCUUGUUGGUGGGGUAGUUGCUUACCAAGGCUUUGACGGGUAGCCGGCAUGAGAGGGUGACCGGACACAUUGGGACUGCGAUACGGCCCAGACUGCUACGGGAGGCAGCAGUGGGGAAUAUUGCACAAUGGGCGGAAGCCUGAUGCAGCAACGCCGCGUGCGGGAUGACGGCCUUCGGGUUGUAAACCGCUUUCGCCUGUGACGAAGCGUGAGUGACGGUAAUGGGUAAAGAAGCACCGGCUAACUACGUG
This 468-nucleotide ribosomal RNA is filed under the name uncultured bacterium. Its description in RNAcentral is "partial 16S ribosomal RNA". It matches the Rfam family "Bacterial small subunit ribosomal RNA", at positions 28 to 507 of the family's 1533-position model. The record is from RNAcentral.